RNAcentral lists this non-coding RNA (28 nucleotides) under Rattus norvegicus (Norway rat). Lineage: Eukaryota; Metazoa; Chordata; Mammalia; Rodentia; Muridae. The record is from RNAcentral.
UGGUUGCUAAAAGCCGGGGAAACCCAGA